Molecule: ribosomal RNA, 638 nt
Filed under: uncultured bacterium
Lineage: Bacteria
Description: bacterial SSU rRNA
Rfam family: Bacterial small subunit ribosomal RNA
Source: RNAcentral
CGACGAACUUCUUUAUCCCGAGUGCUUGCACUCACCGAUAAAGAGUUGAGUGGCGAACGGGUGAGUAACACGUGGGCAACCUGCCCAAAAGAGGGGGAUAACACUUGGAAACAGGUGCUAAUACCGCAUAACCAUAGUUACCGCAUGGUAACUAUGUAAAAGGUGGCUAUGCUACCGCUUUUGGAUGGGCCCGCGGCGCAUUAGCUAGUUGGUGGGGUAAAGGCUUACCAAGGCAAUGAUGCGUAGCCGAACUGAGAGGUUGAUCGGCCACAUUGGGACUGAGACACGGCCCAAACUCCUACGGGAGGCAGCAGUAGGGAAUCUUCCACAAUGGGCGAAAGCCUGAUGGAGCAACGCCGCGUGGGUGAAGAAGGUCUUCGGAUCGUAAAACCCUGUUGUUAGAGAAGAAAGUGCGUGGGAGUAACUGUUCACGUUUCGACGGUAUCUAACCAGAAAGCCACGGCUAACUACGUGCCAGCAGCCGCGGUAAUACGUAGGUGGCAAGCGUUAUCCGGAUUUAUUGGGCGUAAAGGGAACGCAGGCGGUCUUUUAAGUCUGAUGUGAAAGCCUUCGGCUUAACCGGAGUAGUGCAUUGGAAACUGGGAGACUUGAGUGCAGAAGAGGAGAGUGGAACUCCA